RNAcentral lists this ribosomal RNA (254 nucleotides) under uncultured bacterium. Its description in RNAcentral is "partial 16S ribosomal RNA". It matches the Rfam family "Bacterial small subunit ribosomal RNA", at positions 524 to 776 of the family's 1533-position model. The record is from RNAcentral.
UACGGGGGGAGCAAGCGUUGUUCGGAUUUACUGGGCGUAAAGGGCGCGUAGGCGGCCACCGCAAGUCAGUUGUGAAAGCUCUGGGCUUAACCCAGAAAGGUCAACUGAUACUGCGGGGCUAGAAUGCAGAAGGGGCAACUGGAAUUCUCGGUGUAGCGGUGAAAUGCGUAGAUAUCAGGAGGAACACCAAUGGCGAAGGCAGCACUCUGGGACGUGACUGACGCUGAGACGCGAAAGCGUGGGGAGCAAACAGG